RNAcentral lists this unclassified non-coding RNA (427 nucleotides) under Melitaea cinxia (Glanville fritillary). RNAcentral's name for it is "misc RNA ENSMCXG00005006804.1". The record is from RNAcentral. Lineage: Eukaryota; Metazoa; Arthropoda; Insecta; Lepidoptera; Nymphalidae.
CCUGCUUCAACCGUACUAGGGUACCCAUAUAGACUACAAUGGACCCCCAUUUAUACUAAGACUAAAUACUGCUGUCAACUUUAAUAUUUUUAACAUCUACUACCUAAAUUAUGCUGUAUUAAAUAAACUAAAUAAUACUAUUUAAUACUCUUAAACUAGCUUAUUGAGUGAACAACAUAGUGCUGCAGUUGUUUACUCUGUGUGUAAGGAUCUUUGUGUCGCUACCUACUACUGACUAAAAGAUUAUUAUGAGAGGUGAAAGAGUGUAUGUGAUGUGAUGUAUGUAUAGAAUGGAAGUGUAGUAAGUUUAGUUGUUAUGCAUAGUUGGUGUGUAGGACUGCAAUUAAGUAUUUUAUCUUGCAGUGAGUUUAGUAGUUAGUUCAGUCGGAUUUUGCUCUAGUAGGCAAAAUUCUACGCUUUUUGGCGG